UACGUAGGGUGCAAGCGUUGUCCGGAAUUAUUGGGCGUAAAGAGCUCGUAGGCGGUUUGUCGCGUCUGCUGUGAAAACCCGAGGCUCAACCUCGGGCCUGCAGUGGGUACGGGCAGACUAGAGUGCGGUAGGGGAGAUUGGAAUUCCUGGUGUAGCGGUGGAGUGCGCAGAUAUCAGGAGGAACACCGAUGGCGAAGGCAGAUCUCUGGGCCGUAACUGACGCUGAGGAGCGAAAGCGUGGGGAGCGAACAGG
This 253-nucleotide ribosomal RNA is filed under the name uncultured bacterium. RNAcentral describes it as "partial 16S ribosomal RNA". It matches the Rfam family "Bacterial small subunit ribosomal RNA", at positions 524 to 776 of the family's 1533-position model. The record is from RNAcentral.